RNAcentral lists this ribosomal RNA (460 nucleotides) under uncultured bacterium. RNAcentral describes it as "partial 16S ribosomal RNA". It matches the Rfam family "Bacterial small subunit ribosomal RNA", at positions 338 to 795 of the family's 1533-position model. The record is from RNAcentral.
CCUACGGGGGGCUGCAGUGAGGAAUAUUGGUCAAUGGGCUUACGCCUGAACCAGCCAAGUCGCGUGAGGGAAGACUGCCCUAUGGGUUGUAAACCUCUUUUGUCAGGGAGCAAUUGGCGCUACGUGUAGCGUUAUCGAGAGUACCUGAAGAAAAAGCAUCGGCUAACUCCGUGCCAGCAGCCGCGGUAAUACGGAGGAUGCGAGCGUUAUCCGGAUUUAUUGGGUUUAAAGGGUGCAUAGGCGGAAUGCCAAGUCAGCGGUAAAAUCGCGGGGCUCAACCUCGCUCCGCCGUUGAAACUGGCGGUCUUGAGUGGGCGAGAGGUAUGCGGAAUGCGUGGUGGAGCGGUGAAAUGCAUAGAUAUCACGCAGAACCCCGAUGGCGAAGGCAGCAUACCGGCGCCCAACUGACGCUGAAGCACGAAAGCGUGGGUAUCGAACAGGAUUAGAUACCCGAGUAGUC